RNAcentral lists this ribosomal RNA (460 nucleotides) under uncultured bacterium. RNAcentral describes it as "partial 16S ribosomal RNA". It matches the Rfam family "Bacterial small subunit ribosomal RNA", at positions 338 to 795 of the family's 1533-position model. The record is from RNAcentral.
CCUACGGGUGACAGCAGUGAGGAAUAUUGGUCAAUGGGCUUACGCCUGAACCAGCCAAGUCGCGUGAGGGAAGACUGCCCUAUGGGUUGUAAACCUCUUUUGUCAGGGAGCAACGCCGGCUACGUGUAGCCGGACUGAGAGUACCUGAAGAAAAAGCAUCGGCUAACUCCGUGCCAGCAGCCGCGGUAAUAUGGAGGAUGCGAGCGUUAUCCGGAUUGAUUGGGUUUAAAGGGUGCGUAGGCGGAAUGCCAAGUCAGCGGUAAAAUCGCGGGGCUCAACCUCGCUCCGCCGUUGAAACUGGCGUUCUUGAGUGGGCGAGAAGUAUGCGGAAUGCGUGGUGUAGCGGUGAAAUGCAUAGAUAUCACGCAGAACUCCGAUUGCGAAGGCAGCAUACCGGCGCCCAACUGACGCUGAAGCACGAAAGCGUGGGUAUCGAACAGGAUUAGAUACCCGAGUAGUC